GCCAGCAUCUUGUAGGUUGGAGACCCUUGCCCCCUCCUUGGUAACGCCACUGUGUUUACGCUUUGGGGGCUGUCCCUCUCCCAGUCGCUGUAGGCACAGGGAUGAGCCAGCAAAUGAGACGAUGUCAUCGCCCUGGCCACAUGACUGGUCUAAUAAAGAGAACAUGACUCACAGGAGCCUCUCAGUGUUACCAUAAGUAGCUUUGCUGGAGCCAUCUGGAAACAUGUGUCCCACAGUGAUGGAGGGGGCUGUGAUCCUGGAGCUGUGGUGGUCUUGUUUUCUGCCAUGUAGAACGUGUCUGCCUGAAAUGGAAGCAGAGUGAAAGCACCCAGUCAGCAAAUUUGAAAAUGUACCAAAGACAAAAGAAAAGGAACCACUCCUGCUCUCCAAAAUCCUGUGAAGUCUUGUGAAGUACUAACUGCACUGUGGGCAAGGUGGCCUCAAAGAGCGAGGACUGGUCAAGUGUACUGUGCCAGAGAGAGUAAAUCAGACUUGGGGACACAUACGCUGGAUUUGAGAGUGGAGGGUUAAAGAAAGGAGGCCAUCUUGGAGAGCAACCGCGGCCUGGGAACAGGGUGAGAGCUGAGAGCAUGCAUCACAUUCCCAGUACCAGUUGUUGGAAGCCAUGAGCCAUCAGGAGACUUAGAACCAUCUGACCUUCAGGAUUGAUCACUAACCUGCGGAAGGAAGGGUGAUGUUCAAUGUUUGAAUUUUCCACCUUAUUGAAAUUAGACUUGUCUGCAACAUUGCUGAACUAAGAAUUAGUUAAUUCAUAUGAAACACCUCUCAUGAUGAUUAACAUAGGUGGUAGCCACUGCAGUUGAAGAUUAUCUGGAAGUUUACAUAUAAGAAGGAUCCAAGCAAAAAUUGUUCUAAAAUAUUUUUCAAUGUGGUCAUCCUUUUCCAUAGCUCCUGCUUAUUGACUGUGUGGCCUACAGGCUGCCCGUGUCCAUCUGGGGGUUGGGGGGACCCUGAUCUAAUCAACACGGACAGGACAGCCUGGGUCAAACUGGCUCUCUCUGAGGUGAUUGAAGGCUGCUGGACUCACACGUUCCGUGGCGCGAAGUCCAAGUGCACACGAGGGCAUAUGGGGCGCUAUGGACUGAAUGUUUGGGUCCCCCCCCAAAAUUCAUAUGUUGAAACGCUGCCCUCCAAUGGGAUGGUAUUGGGAGGUGGGCCUUGGGAGCUGAUUGGGGUGAGAUGAGGUCAUGAGGAAGACACCCCAUGAUGGGAUUAGUGUCCUUAUAAAAAGAGAAGGCACCUGGAGCUCUGUCUCAGCCCUAUGAGGGUGCAGCUAGAAAGCGGCCACCCACAGCCCAGGAAACGGGCUCUCCCCAGGCGUGGAAUCUGCUGGCACCUUGAUCCUGGACAUUGACCUCUGGAACUAAAGAAUACAUGUUUGUUGUUUAAGCCUCUAGUCUACAGUAAUUUGUUAUAGCAGCUGGAGCCUAUUAAGAUGUGGGAGGAGAGCCCUGAAGGAGUGGGACCUUAAGAAAGGGACAUGGUCAGCGUGGCUAGAGAGAGAGGCAGGAAACAGGUGAGAGAGGCCAGGGAGACUGGGGAAUUCUGAUUGCAGAAUACAUGAUUCUGCAAGACUGGCUCACUGGAAGAACUUCCACUUUAGCCCUAGAGGGAGAUGAGCUGUGAGUGGUUUGAGCAGGGGAACAUGAGUGACUGCAUUUUUAGGAGCUCAUGGUUGUUGCUUUCUUGAGGACAGCCUCCAGGGGGAAGGUUGGGACAGAAAGAAGCAGGCACAAGGCAGUUAUGAUAAACCAGGGCAAGGCACUGAGGGAAAAGGUGGGGCUCGGGAGGUGGGGAGAAGGUGCUCCUUUGAGACAGAGCUGGGAGAAUUUGCUGAGGAUUGAUGUGGAGAGGACCCCAGGCCCAAGGAUAUUGCUAUCAUCCACCAGGAUGGAGACGACAAGAGACAGGUUUAAGCCCACGUAGAACUGGAAGAAACCUUCUUUCCUUUUUUCCUUCCUCCUUUUCUCCCUCCUUCCCUCCUUCCCUCCCUCCUUCCCUUCCUUCCCUAUUUCCCCCCCUCCCUUCCUUCCUAUCUUUCUUUUUUCCGGGAUGAGAAAAGCGCCUGCUUGUUUGUGUCCUGACGGGGUGAUCCAGGAGAGGGGAAAUCCCGUGAUGCCCGAGAGGAAGAGGAGAGAAUUGCUGGAGGCCUGUCCUUGAGAUGGCAGGAAGGGAUGGGUUUAGUGCCCCAGAGGAUUUGGCCUUGGUUGGUUCAUGAACAGUUGGCACAAACAAUUCCUCUGCAGUAACAGGAGGGAAGGCCAAGUGUGGGUCUAGACACGGGGAGGUGGGUAGACGCAGACAUCCUUUGUUAAUUGGUUUUUCUCAGUGAAAAAGAAGGUUAGGUCAUCAGAUGAGAGUGAGGCUGGGAGAAGGGUUGAAAGUUUGGGGAGAGGGGAAUAGGAGUGACAUAGUCUCCUAGGAUAGGGGGACACUGAAGUGACCAGGUGAACACAAGAUUUCCAGGCAGCUUGGAGGGUCCUCCUGAGGUCAGUGGUCCUAAAUUCAAGUGCGGCCAGUAGACCAGGUAGGAGUUUUUCUCCAGUAUAAUCAGGUGCAAGGGUGCAGUGAGGGGCUGGUAGAGUUGGGUUUAAUUGGGUUUGGGGGCUUUCCAGGUUAACGUGACUGUGGGAGAAUGGACAAAAGUGCUGAAUGCAUAUGGAGGGGAAGGAUUAAAAUGGUGGGCUCUGGAAUCCAAGCUGGUGUGGAGGGAAUCAAGGAUGAAGAGGAAAGGAGGGACCAUUGCAAAUCUAGCAUCAGGGAGGUGUAGGUCCCAGGGAGAUCAAAUUAUUGUUGGGGUGGAGGUGCAUGGCCAGAAAACUGGAGGUGGGUUCAGGGAGUGGGAUGCUUGACAGAGAUUAUGAAGGGUCACAGUUAUGAUCAUGACACUGUCUAUGAUGUGAUGGAAAGUGGCUCCUGGUAUCCUGUGGGCAGCAGUAACCUGGAAGAGAGGAGGAAGCCACUGAAGGGCCAGGUAUUGGAGGGACCAUCAAUGUGGAUAUGCACACCGAUGCAUUAUAGCAGAAGCAGUGCUGGGGAGACAGACAGGGACCAGGUGCUAAGGUCUUUAGGGAAUGAGGCCGGUGGCCUCAGAGGAGACCUCUAAGGCUCAAGGUUGGUGCCACAGUCUACAGCAUAGGCCACACAGCUUUUUCUUUAGGCAGGGAUUAUGGGGGACAUGAUGAGGGCAGGAGAAAAAGUAUAAACAUUUGAAAAUGAUGGCAAGGAACAAACAGGACUAUCUCCUACUUCUAAGCCCAGGGAUAGAAUGGGUGUGAGCAAAAGACACCGACCCCUCAGCAGACAGAAGCACAAGUGGCCUCUCAGGGCAGCACCAGAUCCAUUCAGGCAAGCGACUGAAGGCAUUGCUCACAGCAGAUAUUUGUGAGCUGCAGAAAAUGACAAAUACAUAGUUUAUUAAUAUUUUCAACUGGAUUCCUAUGACAUUUAUUUUAAAUAACAUGUUUGCUAAGACAUAUGAACUUUUAAGACUCAUUUAUUUCUUACCUGUCCAUCAUUGUUCUUUCAGAAUUCAGACAUUUCAACUCUGGAACUGUUAUUAUCUGGCAAAUUGCAAUGCAUUAUAAUUGUUAUGCUCUUAUGCAGACCAGGCAGCUUUGCUCAAACAAUAGCUGGAUAGUGACAUUCCACGUUUCUAUUUAGUUUGUUUCAGCAGUUGUAAAACACAGGCAGCACUGCUGCCCCCAGGUGGUGUGCAGGAAAACUGCGUCUUCAUCUUCUAAGAAACACCUACCUGAGCGCCUUGUUGGUAUAGGCUGUCUGGCCUCAUCUUUUGAACUUGAUACAACUCAGUGGAAUGACUGUAAAGGCUACUAAAUGUAGUGUUUUACUGUAGCUGAUACACACAGGUAAUUAUUUAUUAAUUGACAACUCUAAGAAAAUGAAUACUCCUCUUCACACCCAGUGCCCCAAUACACAACCAUUGAUGUGUGUAUGAAGAUAAACAUGCAUACAUUUCCAAUUCCUAUGGUGUUUGAAGAAGAGAUGGAUUAGUGUGAAUAUUUAAGAAUUUUCAAUCUUCAGAACUUAAAAUGAGCAUGCAAAUAACCGUUAAGCAUGUGAAAUUAAAUAAAAACUUAAAAGAAUUCAAAUUUAAGCUGUUGGAACUUUAAAUUAUCCCGAGUCUUGAAAGGAAUGACUAUGCAGCCUGCAUCAAGCAUCAUGCAGCUGCAACUUCUGCCUUUCAUGUCACCAUACAUAAUUAAGACCAAAUGGUGCCAGAGAUAAGCCCCCCUCAGAUCACUACCCCUUCUCAUGGAGUAAUAAUUUUUUUUUUUUUUGAGACGGAGUCUCCUCGCUCUGUCACCAGACUGGAGUGCAGUGGUGUGAUCUCAGCUCACUGCAACCUCCACCUUCUGGGUUCAAGUGAUUCUCCUGCCUCGGCCUCCUGAGUAGCUGGGACUACAGGCACGCGCCAUCACGCCCAGCUAAUUUUUGUAUUUUUAGCAGAGAUGGGGUUUCACCAUUUUGGCCAGGAUGGUCUCGAUCUCUUGACCUCGUCAUUUGCCUGCCUUGACCUCCCAAAGUGCUGGGAUUACAGGCAUGAGGCACUGUGCCUGGCCGAGUAAUUUUUUUUUUUUUUUAGAAUGUAACAAUCUGUAAUCAAUCAGAUUGCUGUAGUGUAUGGAAAAUGUUGCAAUCCUGCUAAAAUUUCCAUAUAGAUGAACCCUUAACCUCUCCACUUUGGAACACUGACUCCAUUGGUUCAGUGUUUCGGGGUGGCCAUCCUUGAGCUUUGUACUCAAAUAAACUCUAUACUUAAUCAU
This 4808-nucleotide long non-coding RNA is filed under the name Homo sapiens (human). RNAcentral describes it as "HSALNT0037252". The record is from RNAcentral. Lineage: Eukaryota; Metazoa; Chordata; Mammalia; Primates; Hominidae.